Long non-coding RNA from Oncorhynchus keta (chum salmon), 1011 nucleotides. RefSeq lists it as uncharacterized. The transcript is spliced from 5 exons. NCBI's taxonomy places the organism in Eukaryota, Metazoa, Chordata, Actinopteri, Salmoniformes, Salmonidae. The record is from RefSeq and is a predicted model, not a curated record.
ACAUCCCAACCAAGAAGCAUCGAAGCUGUUCUGGCUCCUGGUCGUCCAACGUCCUGUUAAUAAACACUUGAUGUUGGUGUUUCCUUUAUUCAGUUACCUGCAUCUUCAAUACUCUAAUAUAUAUAAUCACAUAAUCAUAUUUAAAACACAACGCUUUUAUCCACAUUUUACAUACAGGUGGUCCCGUCUGGGUGCAUCCCAUAGGACACCCUAUUCCCUACAUAGACCACGAGGUAGGGAAUAGGGGGCCAUUUAGACCACUAGGUAGGGAAUAGGGGGCCAUUUAGACCACUAGGUAGGGAAUAGGGGGCCAGUUUGACCACUAGGUAGGGAAUAGGGGGCCAUUUUGACAACUAGGUAGGGAAUAGGGGGCCAGUUUGACCACUAGGUAGGGAAUAGGGGGCCAUUUUGACAACUAGGUAGGGAAUAGGGGGCCAGUUUGACCACUAGGUAGGGAAUAAGGGGCCAUUUUGACCACUAGGUAGGGAAUAGGGGGCCAGUUUGACCACUAGGUAGGGAAUAGGGGGCCAGUUUGACCACUAGGUAGGGAAUAGGGGGCCAUUUAGACCACUAGGUAGGGAAUAGGGGACCAGUUUGACAACUAGGUAGGGAAUAGGGGGCCAGUUUGACCACUGGGUAGGGAAUAGGGGGCAUUUUGACCACUAGGUAGGGAAUAGGGGGCCAUUUAGACCACUAGGUAGGGAAUAAGGGGCCAGUUUGACAACUAGGUAGGGAAUAGGGGGCCAGUUUUACCACUAGGUAGGGAAUAGGGGCCAGUUUGACCACUAGGUAGGGAAUAGGGGGCCAUUUAGACCACUAGGUAGGGAAUAAGGGGCCAGUUUGACAACUAGGUAGGGAAUAAGGGGCCAGUUUGACAACUAGGUAGGGAAUAAGGGGCCAGUUUGACAACUAGGUAGGGAAUAGGGGGCCAGUUUGACCACUAGGUAGGGAAUAGGGGGCCAGUUUGACCACUAGGUAGGGAAUAGGGGGCCAUUUUGACCACUAGGUAGG